UCCACCGCGCGACUAACGCCUAGCAUUUUUUAGAACAUUUUUUUUAAAGUUAUCGGAUAAAUUAAUAGAGGUAUUCAUAAUUUACCAUCUGAACUUAUAAGCAUUGGCCAAUUUCCUCCCUCAAGUUUAAUUUUGAUUAAUUUCCCCUCUCAAUUCUCAUAAUUAAUUAAUUUACACCCCAUUGUCAAUUUUUUUAAUUUUCUAUCUAUACUCCCGCUAAGUAGGUCAUGUGCUAUCCACAUGACUACCCUUUAAAAGGCAAAAAAGUCAUUUCCCUACCCCUUCCAUUCUCUCCACCAACACUUUGUACUCCCCACAGAUUCUUCUCUGUUAGAGAACGCUCAUUUUCUCAGUAACCAAAGUUACCAAACAAGACCUUUAAAGGAAAGAGAACCCAUUACACCGGAAGCACAAAGAGCUCAACUUUUCAAUAAAAUUUGUGAAUAAACAGAGGAAAUCCCUCCCUUUAAACCCCCAAACCCCAAAAUAAAAUAUGGUUUUGCAGUAAAUGAAAAACUCACUUGGGGAAAAUCGCUGAGAGUAAAAAGCGCAGAGAGGUGUCAGAGGAGUAGUUGUUUUCUUACAAGGGAAGGAAAGGAAGGAAGAGAGCAGCGGCAACGUGUUGGAGUGGUUGGGAGUCAUCAAUGAGAAGCAAUGUGAAAAGGAAAAGCAGGCAGAGAGAAGAGAAGAGAGAGAAAGGGGAAUCUGGUGCAGUACAGUGUGUGGAGAAGAGGUGUACUCCCCAGAUUCUUCGGCAAGUCUUUGAUCAAAUCCAUCUCGUCUUCUCCCCACAUCGCCAAGCUCGGGUCUUACGCGCUAUGCGGCCUCCUCGCCUCCUACUCCACGCGCUUCGUGGAUCCGGGAGAGACAAAGUCCAAGUACUCGAUCAUAAUCGGGGGCGCCAACUUCAGGUGCGGGUCUUCGCGGGAGCACGCGCCGGUGGCUCUGGGAGAGGCGGGAGUGGCAGCGGUGGUGGCGGAGUCGUACGCGCGGAUCUUUUUCAGUAACUCGGUGGCGAUGGGGGAGGUGUACCGGCUGGAAUCGGAGGGUAGGGUGCGAGUAGUGCAACAAAGGGAUGUAGUGAACGCGGAUCUACGAGCUCAGAUCCCUCCCACUGUUUCUUUUGGUGUUCGCCGGGAAAAUCGUGCCGGUGGGCGGUGGAGCACGGGCUCGGCUUGGAGAAAAGGAAGAAGAAUAGAAUGUUCGGAGAAAAGAAAGAAGACAGAAGGUGUAGGGGACGAAGUUGGAGUAUUCAAGGAAAAAGUGUAGUCAAACAACGAGAACAAAUCCAUAACACUGAAUGGACUGGAAGGAGAUGUCUUCCAGUAUUACAAGAGCUUCAAGCCAGUCUAUCAAUUCACUCAAAAGAACGAAGGCAACAUUGCAAAAUUGUCGACUGAAUGUGAGAAACUGACUGAGGAUAUUGCAGUCCGGACAAAUACGUUGAUUUGAUGGUUAGCAUCGACAAGGAUCUUGAUGCUCACUUUAUCAAGGCAUGAUAAAUUAAGGAAGGGAAAAGAAUGCAAUGGUGAAACGGUGUGACGUCCAUCGUUAGUUUAUAAUCUUUGUGUUAAUAAUGCGUGCCUUUUGAUUGAUUACAAGUAAUUAAAAUGUUUUGCUUUGUAAGUUGCCUUGUAAAAAAUGUACGUGAAGGGAUAUCAUAUGUGAGAUUGUAAUGUAUGAACUAUGGUAUGCAAAAUAAAAGGUGUAGUGUACCAUCUCCACUUUGUUGCUCA
Long non-coding RNA from Pyrus x bretschneideri (Chinese white pear), 1736 nucleotides. RefSeq lists it as uncharacterized. The transcript is spliced from 2 exons. Lineage: Eukaryota; Viridiplantae; Streptophyta; Magnoliopsida; Rosales; Rosaceae. The record is from RefSeq and is a predicted model, not a curated record.